RNAcentral lists this ribosomal RNA (435 nucleotides) under uncultured bacterium. RNAcentral's name for it is "bacterial SSU rRNA". It matches the Rfam family "Bacterial small subunit ribosomal RNA", at positions 29 to 507 of the family's 1533-position model. The record is from RNAcentral.
AACGAACGCUGGCGGCAGGCCUAACACAUGCAAGUCGAGCGAACCCUUCGGGGUUAGCGGCGGACGGGUUAGUAACGCGUGGGAAUAUACCCUUUGGUACGGAAUAGCCUCGGGAAACUGAGAGUAAUACCGUAUGUGCCCUUCGGGGAAAGAUUUAUCGCCAAAGGAUUAGCCCGCGUUGGAUUAGAUAGUUGGUGGGGUAAUGGCCUACCAAGUCUACGAUCCAUAGCUGGUUUGAGAGGAUGAUCAGCAACACUGGAACUGAGACACGGUCCAGACUCCUACGGGAGGCAGCAGUGGGGAAUAUUGCGCAAUGGGCGAAAGCCUGACGCAGCCACGCCGCGUGAGUGAUGAAGGCCCGAGGGUCGUAAAGCUCUGUCGGGAGGGAAGAACAAAAUGACGGUACCUCCCAAGAAAGCACCGGCUAACUCCGUG